AUGGCUGAAGGAGGUGGAAAAAAAUUUGGUAGAAAUUACCUCACAUGGACAGAUGAAAUGGACACUACACUACUCGAGGUCCUUGUUGAGCAUCACAACAAUGGCGAUCAUGCCCAGAAUGGAUGGAAGUCCCAUGUCUACAGUGCUGUUAUAGGUAAUGUGCGUGAGAAGUGCUCUGUGACCAUCACAAAGGAAAACAUCAGUUCAAGGUGCAAAACCUUUGAAAAGCACUACGAGGCCAUUAGCAAGAUGCUAUCUCAAGCUAACAAGAAAGUAGGAUUUUACAAGAACAGGGUCAUUAAGAAUUGGGAUGCUAUCACCACCAUAUACUCAAAAGAUCAUGCAAAUGGUGAAGGUGCUGUCACUGGUGCUGAAACUGUUGUAGAACCAACUACGGAACCCAAUGAAGCCUCUCCUGAAAUGAAAGGCUCAUUUCAUGAUGCUUUGAAGUCACUCGAGCCUUUACCUCUGCCCCAAGUUACACCUCCUGCUGAAAUCCUUGCGACACUUGAGAUAAUCCCUGAUCUAGCUCGUGGUGACAUCUUGCGAUCUUAUGGUAAGAUGAUCCUUAGCGAACGCUUGUACCAAGCCCUUCUUGAGCUUCCCAUGAACUUCAGGAAGGAAUGGUUGUUGAUGUUGAAUUAG
Molecule: ribosomal RNA, 645 nt
Filed under: Triticum aestivum (bread wheat)
Lineage: Eukaryota; Viridiplantae; Streptophyta; Magnoliopsida; Poales; Poaceae
Description: partial small subunit ribosomal RNA
Source: RNAcentral